GGAUGUGAGGGCGAUCUGGCUGUGACAUCUGUCACUCCAUUGAUCACCAGGGUUGAUUUAGCUGAUCUGGUUGGCUAGGUGGGUGUCCUUUCCCCCCCCUCACCGCUCCCUCCCAAAGUUGCUCUCAAGAGGAUGGCCUUUCCUGAAAAGAGACAGCCCGGCCUUUAGUCAAGGGUAUAGAAAUAGCUGCACUCCCCUGCUAGAACCUUCAAACAAGUUCUCAAGAAAAGGAGGGGGAAAAGGAGCAUGUUCUGAUAGUUUAUUUCUCAUACCAAUAUCUAUCUAGAGCAUU
Molecule: small nuclear RNA, 292 nt
Filed under: Erinaceus europaeus (western European hedgehog)
Lineage: Eukaryota; Metazoa; Chordata; Mammalia; Eulipotyphla; Erinaceidae
Description: 7SK RNA
Rfam family: 7SK RNA
About the family: 7SK was discovered as an abundant small nuclear RNA in the mid-70s but a possible function has only recently been suggested.
Source: Rfam by way of RNAcentral